GAAUAUUGGUCAAUGGGCGAAAGCCUGAACCAGCAAUGCCGCGUGAGUGAUGAAGGCCUUCGGGUUGUAAAGCUCUGUCAGUGGGAACGAAUAAGCCGUUUAAUACACGGUGGUGACGGUACCCACAAAGGAAGCACCGGCUAACUCUGUGCCAGCAGCCGCGGUAAUACAGAGGGUGCAAGCGUUGUUCGGAAUUACUGGGCGUAAAGCGCGUGUAGGCGGUCUGGUAAGUCGGUUGUGAAAUCCCUUGGCUCAACCAAGGAACUGCAUCCGAAACUACUAGACUUGAGUAUCGGAGGGGAUGGCGGAAUUCCCGGUGUAGAGGUGAAAUUCGUAGAUAUCGGGAGGAACACCUGUGGCGAAGGCGGCCAUCUGGAAGAUUACUGACGCUGAGACGCGAAAGCGUGGGGAGCAAACGGG
Molecule: ribosomal RNA, 420 nt
Filed under: uncultured bacterium
Lineage: Bacteria
Description: bacterial SSU rRNA
Rfam family: Bacterial small subunit ribosomal RNA
Source: RNAcentral